CUGCUCACUUUGGCAGCACAUAUACUAAAACUGGGACAUACAGAGAAGAUUAGCACGGCCCCUGUGCAAGGAUGACACGUAAAUUCAAGAAACGUUCUAUAUUUUU
Cavia aperea (Brazilian guinea pig) is the source of this 106-nucleotide small nuclear RNA. The record is from Ensembl. Lineage: Eukaryota; Metazoa; Chordata; Mammalia; Rodentia; Caviidae.